This 1297-nucleotide long non-coding RNA is filed under the name Gossypium barbadense (sea-island cotton). Its description in RNAcentral is "long non-coding RNA (GBAR_LNC018192)". The record is from RNAcentral. Lineage: Eukaryota; Viridiplantae; Streptophyta; Magnoliopsida; Malvales; Malvaceae.
ACAAGUAUAAUUAUAAAUGAAUACUACAUCUGGACAUAAUACAUACAUAGAGGAGCCUAACGAGAUUCAGAAUAAAAUGAGAAGAAAAUCCACGUAUAAUUUGGGUUAAUCACGACCACACACGUAUCAUCAGACCAGUAGGGCGCUUAUGUGAGCAAUUAGGACCAUUGAUAAGGUACCACGUGGUGCGCAAAUUAAAAAAAACAAACAUAAAGUAAGGUAAUCGACGUCUUCAAGCCAUGCAUAAAUUUUCAUGGGGAAACUCACUUAUAGCCUACAUUAAGAGUUCCUUUUUAUUUUUUUUAUUUUUUUUAAAUUCUAAAAAACCAAGACUUAAUCUCAGUUAAAAUUCUAUCUAAUAUACAGUUAAAAUAUAUCUGAGGUCCUUGUACUCUUCAUAAUUAUUUUUAGGUAUUUAGUUUUUCCACUUUUUAAAUUUCAAAAUUCGAAUUCAAUUAUUAAUAUAUUAUCUUUCUUUUAAAUUGUUGGUGUAAUUUUUUGAAAUAAAAUAAAACUCACUUGGUAGUAAUAUAAAUAAAAAAAUAACACUGUAAUGAACUUAAAUUUAACAAAUAAUUUUUAUAGUGUUAACAAUAAAGAUUUGAACUUUGAAAUUCGAGAAGUAUAGAAAUUAAAUUUCAAAUUUAGAAAGAUUAAAAGUACUAAUGACACAUUUUAACUCUAAUAUACACAAGGAAACAAACUUGUUCAUGCAAAAUUGUAAUCGUAUUUUGGUUAAUAUUGAUGUUACUCUGGUUCUAUAUUUUCUCUUAAUUAUGUGUCUAUUGUUGAAACCUAUUUGAUAUGGCUGCGAAAAUAUGAUUUUUCAAAUAGGAAAAAAAUAUAAAUGUCUAUAUCAAACGCAUUGGCACCCGACAUUUGAACUUACAGGUAUGAAAAGAGAGAGAAAGAUACCCAAUUGGAAGGAGUGAGCAAAGGAGUAGGUGCUGCGAAAACUGGUUGAUUUCGGAUGAGUGUAGGAGGAGAAGUGGAAGAGUUGAGGUUGGCGAUGAUAGAGGGCCGCCGCAAUGUGGGUUGCCGGAGUGAGUUAGAAGGAGAGGUGGUAUUGGAAGAGAGGCAGAAGCCGGAGACCGAAGCCGUGGACAUUAUUGCCGCCAAGGGAUCACAUUCAUAUAUAGAAAACACUAGAUUUUAUACCAUACUUUUAUUAUCAAACAAUUCCUUAUAGGAUAUAAUAUUGAAAGCGAAAGCGAAAGCUUAGUGAAUGAGAGCUUCUACCUUUGUAGAUGAGGUUUCAACGUUGGAGAUCAAUUUUCGCUCUCUUUCUCCCUUCAUC